CAGCAGCCGCGGUAAUACGUAGGGUGCAAGCGUUAAUCGGAUUUACUGGGCGUAAAGCGUGCGUAGGCGGCUUUUUAAGUCGGAUGUGAAAUCCCUGAGCUUAACUUAGGAAUUGCAUUCGAUACUGGGAAGCUAGAGUAUGGGAGAGGAUGGUAGAAUUCCAGGUGUAGCGGUGAAAUGCGUAGAGAUCUGGAGGAAUACCGAUGGCGAAGGCAGCCAUCUGGCCUAAUACUGACGCUGAGGUACGAAAGCAUGGGGAGCAAACAGGAUUAGAGACCCCCGUAGUCCCUGUCUCUUAUAC
This 301-nucleotide ribosomal RNA is filed under the name uncultured bacterium. Its description in RNAcentral is "partial 16S ribosomal RNA". It matches the Rfam family "Bacterial small subunit ribosomal RNA", at positions 509 to 807 of the family's 1533-position model. The record is from RNAcentral.